Gossypium hirsutum (cotton) is the source of this 129-nucleotide non-coding RNA. Lineage: Eukaryota; Viridiplantae; Streptophyta; Magnoliopsida; Malvales; Malvaceae. The record is from Rfam.
UGUUAAAAAAUUUAUCCAUUUGUACUGUUAAAAAUUGGUAUGACUAAUAGAAUAACAAGACAAUGAUACGUGGCUUCUUAAUGUAUAGGGACCAAUUUUUAACAAGAAAAAUAGAUAGAAUUUUUAACA